UCAGAUUGAAUUUUUCAGAGCUGCCUGGGGGUUGCUCUGAGUUCUUUGUCAGGUUUCUCUUCAGGUUUUGUCAAGGGUUUUGUUUCAAGGAAACCUCAGAGUAUUUUUGCUUCUCUUCCUUUUUCUGUCUGAUCUCCCUCUUUUAUAACCUAAUUUUCAUGGCUUUGUGGGCUCAAAUGAGAGAGGUCCAAGUCCAAGUUUUU
Molecule: long non-coding RNA, 203 nt
Filed under: Lathyrus oleraceus (garden pea)
Lineage: Eukaryota; Viridiplantae; Streptophyta; Magnoliopsida; Fabales; Fabaceae
Description: Pisum sativum (pea) long non-coding RNA (PSAT_LNC020616)
Source: RNAcentral